This 117-nucleotide small RNA is filed under the name Marmota monax (woodchuck). Lineage: Eukaryota; Metazoa; Chordata; Mammalia; Rodentia; Sciuridae. The record is from RNAcentral.
GCUGGGUCCAGUGGUAUAUGCCUAUAAUCCCAGCUACUUGGGAGGCUGAAGCAAGAAGGUUGCUUGAGCCCAGGAGUUUGAGAAAAACCUUGGACAACAUAGUGAGACCAGUAUCUU